Cyclopterus lumpus (lumpfish) is the source of this 84-nucleotide non-coding RNA. Lineage: Eukaryota; Metazoa; Chordata; Actinopteri; Perciformes; Cyclopteridae. The record is from the annotation of a RefSeq genome assembly.
GUCAGGAUGGCCGAGUGGUCAAAGGCGCCAGACUCAAGUUCUGGUCUCCAAUUGGAGGCGUGGGUUCAAAUCCCACUUCUGACA